ACAAGCGGUGGAGCAUGUGGUUAAUUCGACAAUAAGCGGAAAACCUUACCAAGGCUUGACAUCUCUGGAAUCCUGCAGAACGUAGGAGUGCCCGCAAGGGAGCCAGAUGACAGGUGCUGCAUGGUUGUCGUCAGCUCGUGCUGUGAAGUGUACGGUUAAGUCCGAUAACGAGCGCAACCCCCAUCAUGAGUUACUAUGUCUCAUGAAACUGACUACAUCAAGUAGUAGGAAGGCGGGGAUGACGUCAAAUCAGCAUGGCCCUUACGCCUUGGGCAACACACGUGCUACAAUGGGUAAUACAAAGGGUUUGCCAAAUCGCAAGAUGGAGCUAAUCCCAUCAAAAUUACCCUCAGUUCAGAUUGAGGUCUGCAACUCGACCUCAUGAAGUCGGAAUCGCUAGUAAUCGUAGGUCAGCACACUACGGUGAAUACGUUCUCGGGUCUU
This 444-nucleotide ribosomal RNA is filed under the name uncultured Parcubacteria group bacterium. RNAcentral describes it as "bacterial SSU rRNA". It matches the Rfam family "Bacterial small subunit ribosomal RNA", at positions 925 to 1382 of the family's 1533-position model. The record is from RNAcentral.